This 112-nucleotide small nuclear RNA is filed under the name Nicotiana attenuata. RNAcentral's name for it is "snRNA U5". It matches the Rfam family "U5 spliceosomal RNA". Rfam says of the family: U5 RNA is a component of both types of known spliceosome. The precise function of this molecule is unknown, though it is known that the 5' loop is required for splice site selection and p220 binding, and that both the 3' stem-loop and the Sm site are important for Sm protein binding and cap methylation. Lineage: Eukaryota; Viridiplantae; Streptophyta; Magnoliopsida; Solanales; Solanaceae. The record is from Rfam by way of RNAcentral.
AGCCACGCGAUGGGCACAUAGCGAACUAUUCUUUCGCUUUUUACUAAAGAAUACCGUCUGCGCGUCGCAAAUAGUGACAUACCUCUAUUUUUGGAGGGGGUAAAAGCCCCCU